CAGUCGCCGCGGGAAUACGGAGGGAGCUAGCGUUGUUCGGAAUUACUGGGCGUAAAGCGCACGUAGGCGGCUUUGUAAGUUAGAGGUGAAAGCCUGGAGCUCAACUCCAGAAUUGCCUUUAAGACUGCAUCGCUUGAAUCCGGGAGAGGUGAGUGGAAUUCCGAGUGUAGAGGUGAAAUUCGUAGAUAUUCGGAAGAACACCAGUGGCGAAGGCGGCUCACUGGACCGGCAUUGACGCUGAGGUGCGAAAGCGUGGGGAGCAAACAGGAUUAGAUACCCCCGUAGUCCCUGUCUCUUAUAC
Molecule: ribosomal RNA, 301 nt
Filed under: uncultured bacterium
Lineage: Bacteria
Description: partial 16S ribosomal RNA
Rfam family: Bacterial small subunit ribosomal RNA
Source: RNAcentral